Molecule: ribosomal RNA, 253 nt
Filed under: uncultured bacterium
Lineage: Bacteria
Description: partial 16S ribosomal RNA
Rfam family: Bacterial small subunit ribosomal RNA
Source: RNAcentral
UACGUAGGUGACAAGCGUUGUCCGGAUUUACUGGGCGUAAAGAGCGCGCAGGCGGUCGUUCAAGUCGAGUGUGAAAGCCCCCGGCUCAACUGGGGAGGGUCACUCGAUACUGAUCGACUCGAAGGCAGGAGAGGGAAGUGGAAUUCCCGGUGUAGUGGUGAAAUGCGUAGAUAUCGGGAGGAACACCAGUGGCGAAGGCGACUUCCUGGCCUGUUCUUGACGCUGAGGCGCGAAAGCUAGGGGGGCAAACGGG